RNAcentral lists this ribosomal RNA (549 nucleotides) under uncultured bacterium. Its description in RNAcentral is "partial 16S ribosomal RNA". It matches the Rfam family "Bacterial small subunit ribosomal RNA", at positions 355 to 896 of the family's 1533-position model. The record is from RNAcentral.
CUAAGAAUAUUCCGCAAUGGACGGAAGUCUGACGGAGCGACGCCGCGUGGAUGACGAAGGCCGAAAGGUUGUAAAGUUCUUUUGCUGGGGAAGAAUAACCGCAGGAGGGAAUGCCUGUGGGAUGACAAGAACCGGCGAAUAAGCCCCGGCCAACUACGUGCCAGCAGCCGCGGUAACACGUAGGGGGCGAGCGUUGUUCGGAAUUACUGGGCGUAAAGGGCAUGUAGGCGGCUUGGAAAGCCUGGCGUGAAAGUCUGCAGCUUAACUGCAGGGGUGCGCUGGGAACUGCUGAGCUUGAGUGACGGAGAGGGAGCUGGAAUUCCUGGUGUAGGGGUGAAAUCUGUAGAUAUCAGGAAGAACGCCGAUGGCGAAGGCAAGCUCCUGGCCGAUGACUGACGCUGAGGUGCGAAAAGUGUGGGGAUCAAAACAGGAUUAGAUACCCUGGUAGUCCACACAGUCAACGAUGUGCACUAGGUGCUGGGGCGGCAGCUUCGGUGCCGGAGCGAACGUGGUAAGGUGCACCGCCUGGGGAGUAUGCUCGCAAGGGUG